RNAcentral lists this long non-coding RNA (2585 nucleotides) under Malus domestica (apple). RNAcentral's name for it is "long non-coding RNA (MDOM_LNC002348)". The record is from RNAcentral. Lineage: Eukaryota; Viridiplantae; Streptophyta; Magnoliopsida; Rosales; Rosaceae.
UGGGGAUGGAGGUCGACAUAUAUAGGAGUCUCCUUAACAACAAGUAGUAAUGCUAUUCCUUUACCCUACUUAGACGCACAACAAAUCUGUGUAUUAUACACAUACCUGAGAUAUAAUGCUAGAUAUCUUUUUAUGGUUCUCAUAUUAUAUAAAAAAAAUUUGAGCAUGAAUUUGAAACUUUUUAUAAUUUCUAGAAAGAGAGACAAUGCAAUUGUGUUUUAUUGUUAGAGAAAAAGAUGUGUCAACUUGGGUUUGACUGAUUAAUGGGAUUUCACUCGAUUAGACCAAAUUGAUUUGAUGUUUUUCUAUUUGAAGUUGAGGAGUUAGAUUGGUGGGAAGCAAUGCAGAGGCACGUCAUCUUCUAACUGGGUCGUGGUCUUCUUUCUUCUCUUAUGAGUUUUUCUAGUUGAAGGAGUCAUCUGCUUCUUCUGGGAUUUUUGGGUCCAUAUUUGCGCCUUCUUCCGGCGUCGUUUAUUGGUAAGUUGUAAAACCUGUGUAGACCACCUCAUGUUCAUUUCAGAUUUUUGUAUCAAUCUUGUUUUAUAAUGGAAUUGCAAAUCAAGUAUAUUUUAGAUUCUUACUUACAUACUCACUUUUCCACAACUAUUAUAUUGUCUCUUGACUGGAUGAAUUUUCAUAAUUUCCUGGAUUUACAGUUACAAUGCUUUUUAUAAUUUCCUAAAUCUAUCCUUUUUGUCUGUGCAUGAUUAUGUUGAUUUUUUUUUUAAGGUUAAAUGUGUCUUAUUCAUGUAGUUAAGGUUGGUGCAUUCAAGUUCCGCAGCAACGCGCGGACAUUUUUUCUAGUAUUAGCUGUGCAGAUUGGAUGAAACUCUGUAAGUUGACUAUAUAUUAGUAUGCAUUCAAAUUCUGGAUGUCAAAAUAUAAUUGUCUCCAGUAAUAGUAAAUUUCGUUAUCGUUAUGGUGUAUAGAUCAAGUGGAUUAAUUAUAGCUACGUGGGGUGCUUCAGGGUGUAAGGCAUGUGGAUAACUUUUCAGUGGUCGAAUGGUGUUCUUCAAAAUGUUUUGAUUAAUUUUCUUGAAGUUCAGUUGCUAGCUAGUUUUUUUUUUAUUUUUUUUAUUUUUUUUAUUUUUAAAGGGAUGAUAGUGUUCUCAUUCCCUUAAUCUUAUUAAAAUAAAAACAAAAAUACAAACAAGGGUGUGGAUGUAAAUUUCUGUCUUCUUCUUGGACGAAAAUACACCUGCAAAACAAUUAACACCUUAGGUUAAGGCCAAGAGCGUCACUUGACCAUGAUGAAUGGGGGGGCAUUUGGCCGAAGAAUUUCCGAUGCUAAAGUUAGAAUUUGAGGGAGAAAGUAUUUGGAGAAAUUUAGAGAAUUUCAGAAGAGGUGUGGUCGGCCCUAUUAGGAAAUUUGGGACCGGACACAUGGUUGAUUUGUGGGAUUGAUAACAAGAUAUUAUGUGAAAUAAUAUCUUGCAAUUAAUUUGGUAAUUAAUCAAUUAAUCUCAAUUUGAAAAGAAUAAUUGGGAGUUACUUUGUGGGUGAGGAUUUAAUGAGAAGUGAUGAGAGUGUAUUAAAAGAAUACCAUUUUGAUCACAUUUGAGCUCGAUUGAGUUGUUAUUGUCUGUUACAUAUGUGGGAAUCCUAGUGUGCCUUAAGGGUAAAUUUGUUUUUUUAACUCGAAAGUCCAUGAGUCACUUCCAUAUUUUUCUUGAUUAUUUUUUGUUCCACAAAGGGCAAUACAAAGGCAAACCUUCUUGAGGAAAAAAAAACGUAAAACAAAAAAUCAACCCCACAAACAAAGAAAACAUAUAAUGAAAAUCAUUUGAAACGAUGGUUGGUAGAAGCAGAAAGAUCAUGAAUAUAAGCAGAAAUUUCACAAGAAAGAACGUUCACCAUCAGUAAUAUGCAUCGUGAUUUACAUGGAAGUUAGCUAAGGCAUCAGGCACACAUGCAGUUGCUAGCUAGUACAGUAGUAGCUAUAUUACUCGACUUUUAUUUUAUGUUUUUAUUAAUUAUUAGGUGUACCAACAGUUAUAUGAAUUUGGAACAUUUGUCAACAUUAAGACAGAGUAUUUGGAGCUAAUGAAGAAUUUGGUGCAAAACCGAGUGCAGUGGUGUUCUAGGAUUUAUACAGUUAAUAAGACUUUGUUGUUGUUUGUUGUAAGAAAAAGAGUAUUAUUAAAUCAAGUGCUUGUUUAAUAGCAAAAAUAAUAGAGACUACUGAAAAAGCAAAAAGAGUAUAUGCACUUGCCACUGUCAUAUUCUUGUCGAGUUCAUGUGCGAUAUUAAUUUGUAAGUACAACGUUGGUUGUAAAGAUCUGACUUUUCUUAUAAAUAAUAAAUAAAAAGAAAAACUAAUGAAAAAAAGCUUGAAAAUUAUGAGUUUUAACGAUAAAGACCAAAUAAAGAGUAAAGUGAAUAGUAUCAGGAUUGACUUUUUAAUGUAAAAAUGUGGUUUUUCGUUAAAGUAAACAGUACCGGGAGUUUUUCACUAAAAAAGAAAAGAAGAAGAAAGGUACGAUCUCAUGUAAUUGGUACAGGGUGGGCAUGCAUGGACUUGUAAUACAAGUCAAGAAAAAUAUUAAAGGGGAUCCUAUCUCCUAUAAGUAGCAUGGUAACCGAUA